GUAGAGUCUAUGAUAAGAAGAGUAGUUUAAUUAAAACCUAAAGCGAGCAGGAGUUUGGUGAGAGCCUGUAGGAGCGAAAUUAAAUGAAGAGAGCCUUUGAGACAUUAUUUGAAAGCUUAAGGUAAGUAAAAUAAAUCGCAUUUCAGCGUUAAAGAAUUGAGUGGCAUUUAUGCAACAAGAGUGGUACCGCGGAUAUUUCGUCUCUUUA
Molecule: non-coding RNA, 208 nt
Filed under: Clostridium intestinale
Lineage: Bacteria; Bacillati; Bacillota; Clostridia; Eubacteriales; Clostridiaceae
Description: T-box sequence
Rfam family: T-box leader
About the family: Uncharged tRNA acts as the effector for transcription antitermination of genes in the T-box leader family.
Source: RNAcentral